AUGUGUGAGAGAGAAGACAAAGGAGGCAGAGAGAGAGAGAGAGACAGGUGCUGGCCAGACUUGGUGACAAACAGGCCUGACACAGUGAAGACGAAGGACUGCAGGGUCCCAGCCUGGGAUUGCGAUGGGCUGGAGGAAGGUGCUGCUAGCAUUCAUGCUUUCUGCUGGCCCGCUCUUGGCUCUCCUGUGGAAUUCAGUCCUCUGCUUCCAGGACAAGCCCAGCCUGCACUUGGGGAUCCUUGGGUGACCGUUCAACCGAAAAAUCAAGGAAGGAAGAGGACACCAUGAAAUCUCCCUACUAAAUCUUCUAAGGGGCUUGGGCAGCCAUGCCAUAAUCCUGGACCUAGUGUGAUCUCAGAUCAAGGCCUCGGAUGUUAAGUUGCCUUCAGCUGAUACCUGGCUGAGGCUGCUUCGAAGUCUGGAAGUAGCUCCCAAAUAGGCUCAUUUCCCAGUGGCCAGGUGCCACCUUCAAUGUUGGUGUCACCUCCCCCUGCCCCCAGCCCCUCAGUCAUUCCUUUCCUAAAGGUUAAGUCUAUCUAACACAAAAUACUCAGGGCCAGAAAAGCUUAGGGUUAAGGAAUACUUGUAUGUAUGUAAUAAAAACCUUGCAGCCUGUUGGUGUUUGUGAAUG
This 631-nucleotide long non-coding RNA is filed under the name Mus spicilegus (steppe mouse). RNAcentral's name for it is "lncRNA (ENSMSIG00000028980.1)". The record is from RNAcentral. Lineage: Eukaryota; Metazoa; Chordata; Mammalia; Rodentia; Muridae.